UAGGGAAUUUUGCGCAAUGGACGAAAGUCUGACGCAGCAACUCCGCGUGAGGGAUGAAGGUCUUCGGAUUGUAAACCUCUGUUAACAGGGAAGAAAAGCUUGGUGAAGAGCCAAGUAUGACGGUACCUGUUGAGGAAGCACCGGCUAACUACGUGCCAGCAGCCGCGGUAAUACGUAGGGUGCAAGCGUUAUUCGGAAUUACUGGGUGUAAAGGGAGUGUAGGCGGGAGAGUAAGUUAGGAGUGAAAUGUACGGGCUCAACCUGUAACGUGCUUUUAAUACUGCUUUUCUUGAGUAUUGGAGAGGUAAAUGGAAUUCCUGGUGUAGCGGUGGAAUGCGUAGAUAUCAGGAAGAACACCAGUUGCGAAGGCGGUUUACUGGCCAAAUACUGACGCUGAGGCUCGAAAGGUAGGGGAGCAAACAGG
Molecule: ribosomal RNA, 424 nt
Filed under: uncultured bacterium
Lineage: Bacteria
Description: bacterial SSU rRNA
Rfam family: Bacterial small subunit ribosomal RNA
Source: RNAcentral